This 612-nucleotide long non-coding RNA is filed under the name Mytilus galloprovincialis (Mediterranean mussel). Lineage: Eukaryota; Metazoa; Mollusca; Bivalvia; Mytilida; Mytilidae. The record is from RNAcentral.
GGUUAUUAUUUGAAAUACUAGUUUGAAGAAAAAAAAAGCACUUACAAUGCUCCACUCGGACCAAAUUUUCCAAGCGUAGCUGCAAUCGUAGCUCCUACUGCAGGAACACCGAAAACAUAUACCAAAAGUCGAUAAUCCCAUCGACCGAAAUCUAUCUGUUUUCGAAAAUAUAUUAAUACAAACACAUUUAUUGCAACAAUAUUGACCAUUAAGUUUUGAGCUGUUACGAAUUCUGCUAAUAUGAAUCCGUAAAAUGCACAUAGAGAUUUCGGCAUUGGGAAAGAUUUUGUAACAACAAUGUGUGUGUGAUCACAAAAAUGUGAAAUGUUAAACAAAGCAUCACAUAGUGCCAUGUACACAACAAAUCUUUCACUUUUAGUCCAUUGGAAGAACGUAGAACAUUUUUGGUGAUAGAAAGAAUACCCAAUUACUGCUACUGCACAUAAGAAACUGAUGCAUAUACAUGUUAUAGCUGGAAUAUGAACUAUGUAAAAAGUUCCGUCACUAAUUCCAUAAACAGGUAUAUCGUAACCGUCAACAAGGCGAACCUCUUGUCUGUCUAGUAUUGUAACAUUACCAUUGGAAGUUGUACUGACAUAAGACAUAUUUGAU